UGAAGGGAGGAGGGGUUUAAACACAGAGGAGCAAAUGAGCGGUGGUCCACUCUGCUGUAACCUCUCCUGGAAGUGUGCAUGCCUGUGUGCUAAGCAAUGCUGUUUAUUUAACUCGUCAUAUAAUGCUGAAGCCUUGAGAGACUCAUGAAGUCCACACGGCCACAUUCUAUCUUGAGCUCCUGGACCUGAGGCCCCUCCAGCCGGUCAGCGGAUUCUCAGACCCUCCCACGCAUAGGAGGCUCAAGAUGGAUGGAGCGCCAGUGAAACUCAGGUCUAGAGUUCCAUGAGCCCACCUACGCGCUUCACUCUUUUUCUCUGUCAGUUCUUUUCCUUCACCCUGGAUAACCCUACAGCUGAUAUCACCGAGAACUCAGUGUGUAGGUGCGCACUGCGAUUACAAAUACCAGAUGAGCUUCCGGUUCAGCUGGGGCUCCCUGUCACGGUGCUCAGAGGACACACUCCAGAGAGGGUGUCAAUGAAACUGUAGUUCUGAUCAAACAGAAGCCCAAUUGAAGUCUGCUCGCUAAUAUAGAGCAUUCACAGCCACCCAGAGAGAACCCACUGUUCUGUGUGCAGUUUGAGUUCAUUACAAAAACACAGGACUCGAUUCCAGCAGCUGGAGUAAUUUUAGCUCUAUCUAAUGGUGGAUGUUUGAGGCACUAAACUCAUGGUUGGACCUCAGGGUUCUCAAAGGGAGAGGCCAUCUGCUCCUUACUUACUUCAUAGUCGGGAGCCUCCCCAUUGCAAUGACAAGAGCUUACUCUUCAACUCUGGUACCCCUAAAUGACUUGUUCUGAUACCCCCUAUACACAUACCUGUGUAUUGGCAUUGCUUAUGCAUGUGCAUGAACACAUGUGCAUACAGGGGGAGAGAGAGAGACAA
Molecule: long non-coding RNA, 882 nt
Organism: Mus musculus (house mouse)
Lineage: Eukaryota; Metazoa; Chordata; Mammalia; Rodentia; Muridae
Product: predicted gene, 30568
Exons: 3
Source: RefSeq, a predicted model, not a curated record